GGCCCCGCGGGGAGCGGCGGCGGCGGCGGAGGCGGUUUUGGCCCGAACUGCGACUUCAACAAAAAAUAAGAGAAAAAAGGAAUAUUUUCUAGAUGUUCAAAUCGUCUCCCUAGAGGAAAAAAUUAAGGUGAAAAGCACUGAAGUUGAGAUCCUAGAGAAGUCUCAAAUUGAAGCCAUUGCUUCCUCGUUAGGGAACGCGAAUCCCCUGAGCUGAAGGAGAAGGAAAAAUGGAUCUGCUUUCUUAAACCUUUCCCGAAUUUGCCCCUAGAACCACUCCUAUUCUUGACGCCCAGAAUGGUCAGUGGUGAGCAUCAAGGCCGUCUCGUACCUCCGUGGCCUCCAGUACACAAGAUGAGGCCUCCUGUACACAGUACUGGCCUCCAGUACACAAGACGAGGAAGGAGUUUGCUGCCAUGAGGGGGGAGGUUCUCCUUUUUCCUUUCCUCUUCCUAUAGUAAGACUUCCGUGGCACUGUCGCUGCCUGGCCAGUCUGGUCUCAGCCCAAGGUUUGAGAAGCAGUUGGUUGUGUGUUUAAAAUUCCAGAGCGGAGCCCAAGGGAGAGAACGGGUGGCCUGGCACCAGGGUUGGUGGCACCCAUUGUUUGAGGCACUGGCAUGGGGGGCACGAGGCAGAUCGGAAGUGGAGCUCUCGGCUUCCCAUCCAUCCGGGUGCGUUUUCUCCCAGGCCUUCAGUUCAGCACCCACCUCCUUUGCACACUGUGGGUGAGAAAAGCUUUGCCUGAGCCCAACCGGGGACUGGUCAUGCACACACAUGACAAGUGAGGAGCACUGGCGACUGCCUGCCCCCUAGCCACAGUUGUGCAAACCCAAAACUGCCAGCCUUCCUUCUCCUCAAAGUGGAACUGUUUAUCCCAUUUGCAAAUAAUUGUUUCUCUUGUGAAAAGAUGGACCGGACUUCUUCCAAUGAUGUUUAUAAAAUCAGGUCUAUUUUCCUGUGUCUUCUGAAAAACAGCUCUUGUUUAAAGCAGGAUCCAUCUCUGCAUAACUUAGGCAGGGCUGACCAUCAUCCUGGACGGCGUCGUCCUUGUUGGCGCAGAUUGUGUUGGGGGGCUGGUUGUUUGUGGGUGCCUUUAAUAUUCAACGGGGAGAAUACUGUUCUGAUUGAGGCAUUAUGCCUGCUGAGUUGUGAUAUUACAUCCAUCAUCUUGUUCAAAUAAAUAGUGCCGUAUCUAUAUGUUGGAAUGAAUAAAUAAAAGUGCUGCAGCAGGGAGGUUGGGCUGGAAACCAGAGGCCCAUGAUGCUCUUUGCUGGCUUUGAAAUGCCCUUGCAAAGAAGUAUUGAAAAUUUACCAGCCCACAAUGAGCCUUUUAAAUCUCCUAUUCCUUGCUACCACCAACCCCCGCACCAACCAAGAAUACGUUGCCAGCAGAGUUCUUUAUUUAGUUGGCAUUGGUUUAUUGACCCUGAUUGAAUUUGAAAUUGUAAGGCUGAGAGAGGAUUUGCAAAACAUUUGAAUACAUUUUGCUCAUGGUAUUGUUUUGUAACUUGGAGGAAUUUAUCUUUUUAGCCAAUCAGGUU
RNAcentral lists this small RNA (1538 nucleotides) under Pongo abelii (Sumatran orangutan). RNAcentral describes it as "retained intron". Lineage: Eukaryota; Metazoa; Chordata; Mammalia; Primates; Hominidae. The record is from RNAcentral.